GACGGGGCCCGCACAAGCGGCGGAGCAUGUGGAUUAAUUCGAUGCAACGCGAAGAACCUUACCUGGGCUUGACAUACACCAGAUCGGCGCAGAGAUGCGUUUUCCCUUGUGGUUGGUGUACAGGUGGUGCAUGGUUGUCGUCAGCUCGUGUCGUGAGAUGUUGGGUUAAGUCCCGCAACGAGCGCAACCCUUGUCUUAUGUUGCCAGCACGUGAUGGUGGGGACUCAUGAGAGACUGCCGGGGUUAACUCGGAGGAAGGUGGGGAUGACGUCAAAUCAUCAUGCCCCUUAUGUCCAGGGCUUCACACAUGCUACAAUGGUCGGUACAACGCGUGUGCGACACUGUGAGGUGAAGCUAAUCGCUCUAAAGCCGGUCGUAGUUCGGAUUGGGGUCUGCAACUCGACCCCAUGAAGUCGGAGUCGCUAGUAAUCGCAGAUCAGCAACGCUGCGGUGAAUACGUUCCCGGGCCUU
Molecule: ribosomal RNA, 471 nt
Filed under: uncultured Corynebacterium sp.
Lineage: Bacteria; Bacillati; Actinomycetota; Actinomycetes; Mycobacteriales; Corynebacteriaceae
Description: bacterial SSU rRNA
Rfam family: Bacterial small subunit ribosomal RNA
Source: RNAcentral